Molecule: ribosomal RNA, 492 nt
Filed under: uncultured bacterium
Lineage: Bacteria
Description: bacterial SSU rRNA
Rfam family: Bacterial small subunit ribosomal RNA
Source: RNAcentral
GACGAACGCUGGCGGCGUGGAUUAGGCAUGCAAGUCGAACGGUAGGAUACCUUCGGGUAUCUGAGAGUGGCGAACGGGUGAGUAACACGUAGGUGAUCUACCCUCAAGAUUGGGACAACCCAGGGAAACUUGGGCUAAUACCGGAUGAAAGCAGCAGUGAUGUUGUUUGAAAGGUGGCGUAAGCUGCCGUUUGGGGAUGAGCCUGCGCUCUAUUAGUUAGUUGGCGGGGUAAAGCCCACAAGGCGAUGAUAGAUAGGCGGCCUUAACGGGUGGUCGCCCACACUGGGAUUGAGAUACGGCCCAGACUCCUACGGGAGGCAGCAGUCGAGAAUAGUCUACAAUGGCCGAAAGGCUGAUAGUGCGACGCCGCGUGAACGAAGAAGCCCUUCGGGUGUAAAGUUCUUUUAUAUGUGAGCAGUGCUUUCUAUGUGAACAGCAUGGGAGAGAGAUAUUAGCAUAUGAAUAAGCAACGGCUAACUCCGUGCCAGCACG